RNAcentral lists this ribosomal RNA (301 nucleotides) under uncultured bacterium. RNAcentral's name for it is "partial 16S ribosomal RNA". It matches the Rfam family "Bacterial small subunit ribosomal RNA", at positions 509 to 807 of the family's 1533-position model. The record is from RNAcentral.
CAGCAGCCGCGGUAAUACGUAGGUGGCAAGCGUUGUCCGGAAUGAUUGGGCGUAAAGGGCGCGCAGGCGGCUGUGUAAGUCUGUCUAGAAAGUGCGGGGCUAAACCCCGUGAGAGGAUGGAAACUGGACAGCUGAGAGUGUCGGAGAGGAAAGCGGAAUUCCUAGUGUAGCGGUGAAAUGCGUAGAUAUUAGGAGGAACACCGGUGGCGAAAGCGGCUUCCUGGACGACAACUGACGCUGAGGCGCGAAAGCCAGGGGAGCAAACGGGAUUAGAGACCCGAGUAGUCCCUGUCUCUUAUAC